RNAcentral lists this ribosomal RNA (510 nucleotides) under uncultured bacterium. RNAcentral's name for it is "bacterial SSU rRNA". It matches the Rfam family "Bacterial small subunit ribosomal RNA", at positions 25 to 518 of the family's 1533-position model. The record is from RNAcentral.
CAGAACGAACGCUGGCAGCGUGGAUAGGCAUGCAAGUCGAACGGGAUCCGGUAGGCAGCAAUGUCGGCCGGUGAGAGUGGCGGAAGGGCGAGGAACACGUGGGUAACCUGUCUUGAGGUGGGGAAAACCGCUGGAAACGGCGGCUAAUACCGAAUGUAGCGCCCGCUCGCAUGAGCGGAGCGCCAAAGGGGGCGAAAGCUCCCCCUCUUCGAGGGGCCCGCGCACCAUCAGCUUGUUGGCGGGGUAACGGCCCACCAAGGCUCACGGUUAGCUGGUCUGAGAGGAUGGCCAGCCGCACUGGGACUGAGAUACUGCCCAGACUCCUACGGGAGGCUGCAGUCGAGGAUCAUUUGCAAUGGGCGAAAGCCUGACAAUGCGACGCUGCGUGGAGGAUGAAGGCCCUCGGGUUGUAAACUCCUGUCAUGGGGGAAAAGGAAACCCUGCCCAAUACGCAGGGAAUUUGAUGGUACCCCAAGAGGAAGCGACGGUUAACUCUGUGCCAGCCGCGGC